GAUGAACGCUGGCGGCGUGCUUAACACAUGCAAGUCGAACGAAGCACUUUUUUUGAAAGAGAGAUAACUUGUUAUUUUUUGGACAUGUAAAGUGACUGAGUGGCGGACGGGUGAGUAACGCGUGGAUAACCUGCCUCAUACAGGGGGAUAACAGUUAGAAAUGACUGCUAAUACCGCAUAAGCGCACAGUAUCGCAUGAUACGGUGUGAAAAACUCCGGUGGUAUGAGAUGGAUCCGCGUCUGAUUAGCUAGUUGGUGGGGUAACGGCCCACCAAGGCAACGAUCAGUAGCCGACCUGAGAGGGUGACCGGCCACAUUGGGACUGAGACACGGCCCAAACUCCUACGGGAGGCAGCAGUGGGGAAUAUUGCACAAUGGGGGAAACCCUGAUGCAGCGACGCCGCGUGAGCGAAGAAGUAUUUCGGUAUGUAAAGCUCUAUCAGCAGGGAAGAAAAUGACGGUACCUGACUAAGAAGCCCCGGCUAACUACGUGCCAGCCGCCGCGGUAAAAC
Molecule: ribosomal RNA, 512 nt
Filed under: uncultured bacterium
Lineage: Bacteria
Description: bacterial SSU rRNA
Rfam family: Bacterial small subunit ribosomal RNA
Source: RNAcentral